AACGCACAUUGCGCCCGCCAGCAUUCUGGCGGGCAUGCCUGUCCGAGCGUCAUUUCAACCCAUCAAGCCCCUUCGGGCUUGCGUUGGGGUCCUGCGGCCGCCGCAGGCCCUGAAAUCCAGUGGCGGUCUCGCUAGACGGCACCGAGCGCAGUAGCAUUCCUCUCGCUCUGGUGGCGCGGCGGGCUUCCGGCCGUGAAAAUACAGCGGGCCUCCCCGCUGUAACACACCAAGGUUGACCUCGGAUCAGGUAGGAAUACCCGCUGAACUUAA
This 270-nucleotide unclassified non-coding RNA is filed under the name uncultured fungus. Its description in RNAcentral is "partial contains 5.8S ribosomal RNA, internal transcribed spacer 2, and large subunit ribosomal RNA". Lineage: Eukaryota; Fungi. The record is from RNAcentral.